RNAcentral lists this ribosomal RNA (460 nucleotides) under uncultured bacterium. Its description in RNAcentral is "partial 16S ribosomal RNA". It matches the Rfam family "Bacterial small subunit ribosomal RNA", at positions 338 to 795 of the family's 1533-position model. The record is from RNAcentral.
CCUACGGGAGGCAGCAGUGAGGAAUAUUGGUCAAUGGACGAGAGUCUGAACCAGCCAAGUAGCGUGAAGGAUGACUGCCCUAUGGGUUGUAAACUUCUUUUAUAAAGGAAUAAAACGAGGCACGUGUGCCGUUUUGCAUGUACUUUAUGAAUAAGGAUCGGCUAACUCGGUGCCAGCAGCCGCGGUAAUACGGAGGAUCCGAGCGUUAUCCGGAUUUAUUGGGUUUAAAGGGAGCGUAGAUGGGUUGUUAAGUCAGUUGUGAAAGUUUGCGGCUCAACCGUAAAAUUGCAAUUGAUACUGGCAGUCUUGAGUACAGUUGAGGUAGGCGGAAUUCGUGGUGUAGCGGUGAAAUGCUUAGAUAUCACGAAGAACCCCGAUUGCGAAGGCAGCUUACUAAACUGUGACUGACAUUGAUGCUCGAAAGUGUGGGUAUCAAACAGGAUUAGAUACCCCUGUAGUC